This 131-nucleotide transfer RNA is filed under the name Candidatus Aenigmatarchaeota archaeon. RNAcentral's name for it is "tRNA-Met". It matches the Rfam family "tRNA". Rfam says of the family: Transfer RNA (tRNA) molecules are approximately 80 nucleotides in length. Their secondary structure includes four short double-helical elements and three loops (D, anti-codon, and T loops). Lineage: Archaea; Nanobdellati; Candidatus Aenigmatarchaeota. The record is from RNAcentral.
GCCGAUGUGGCUCAGGGGUUAGAGCGCUGCGCUCAUAACGCAGAGGUCGGGGGUUCAAAUGCGCAGAUUGCAUUUGUAAAUGACAUUUGACAGGCUUGUCCUGUCUUGCGCUGAUCUUCCCCCCAUCGGCA